GACGAACGCUGGCGGCGCGCUUAACACAUGCAAGUCGAACGGAAAGGCCUGCUUUCCCUUGUGGAUUGCGGGUACUCGAGUGGCGAACGGGUGAGUAACACGUGAGUGAUCUGCCCCCAACUUGGGUAUAAGCCUGGGAAACUGGGUCUAAUUCCCGAUAGGACUGCAGGGUGGUGCCUGUGGUGGAAAACGAUUUUCUAGUGGUUGGGGAUGAGCUCGCGGCCUAUCAGCUUGUUGGUGGGGUAAUGGCCUACCAAGGCGGCGACGGGUAGCCGGCCUGAGAGGGUGGACGGCUACAUUGGGACUGAGAUACGGCACAGACUACUACGGGAGGCAGCAGUGGGGAAUAUUACACAAUGGGCGGAAGCCUGAUGCAGCGACGCCGCGUGGGGGAUGACGGCCUUCGGGUUGUAAACUCCUUUCGACCGCGAGGAAGCCACCUGGUUGGAAGGGUGGUGACGGUAGUGGUAGAAGAAGCACCGGCUAACUACGUG
Molecule: ribosomal RNA, 494 nt
Filed under: uncultured bacterium
Lineage: Bacteria
Description: partial 16S ribosomal RNA
Rfam family: Bacterial small subunit ribosomal RNA
Source: RNAcentral